This 300-nucleotide signal recognition particle RNA is filed under the name Cebus imitator (Panamanian white-faced capuchin). RNAcentral's name for it is "Metazoan signal recognition particle RNA (ENSCCAG00000014360.1)". It matches the Rfam family "Metazoan signal recognition particle RNA". Rfam says of the family: The signal recognition particle (SRP) is a universally conserved ribonucleoprotein. It is involved in the co-translational targeting of proteins to membranes. Lineage: Eukaryota; Metazoa; Chordata; Mammalia; Primates; Cebidae. The record is from RNAcentral.
GCCAGGCGUGGUGGCGCGUGCCUGUAGUCCCAGCUACUUGGGAGGCUGAGGUGGGAGGAUCCCUUGAGCCCAGGAGUUCUGGGCUGUAGUGUGCUAUGCUGAUCGGGUGUCCACACUAAGUUCAGCAUCAAUAUGGUGACCUCCCGGGAACGGGGGACCACCAGGUUGCCUAAGGAGGGGUGAACUGGCCCAGGUUGGAAACGGGGCAGGUCAAAAACUCCCGUGCUGAUCAGGAGUAGGAUUGCGCCUGUGAAUAGCCACUGCACUCCAGCCUGGGCAACAUAGUGAGACUCCGUCUCU